RNAcentral lists this unclassified non-coding RNA (734 nucleotides) under uncultured Prochlorococcus sp. RNAcentral describes it as "partial 16S-23S ribosomal RNA intergenic spacer; may also contain 16S ribosomal RNA and 23S ribosomal RNA". The stretch from base 344 to 416 matches the Rfam family "tRNA". The record is from RNAcentral. Lineage: Bacteria; Bacillati; Cyanobacteriota; Cyanophyceae; Synechococcales; Prochlorococcaceae.
UUGUGGAGAAGGACGCCGAAGGUGGGGCUGAUGACUGGGGUGAAGUCGUAACAAGGUAGCCGUACCGGAAGGUGCGGCUGGAUCACCUCCUAACAGGGAGACAUUUAAUUGAUUGUGAUGUCUAAGUUUUUUAUUCUUAGGCCGCAAUCCUGUCACCUUAAGGUCGAUCGGUACCUCAGAUUUAAGAAUUAGUCUUAUAAUUGAUUCUUUGAUUUCAGUUCCUAAACUUGUCUAGGUCACACCCAACAAAGGUUUCUCCUGGGCCAUUAGCUCAGGUGGUUAGAGCGCACCCCUGAUAAGGGUGAGGUCCCUGGUUCAAGUCCAGGAUGGCCCAUUCGUUGUUGGGGGUAUAGCUCAGUUGGUAGAGCGCCUGCUUUGCAAGCAGGAUGUCAGCGGUUCGAGUCCGCUUACCUCCACUGAAAACUAUCCUGAUAACUAAAUUGUGGAGAAAAAUUUGUAGAUGUGGCUUAGAAUUGUCUAUUGAGAAGAACCUAGCUUCUUAUCAUCUUUUAUAUAGUUGAUAACAUGCUGGGCUCCCAUGGUUUAUUCCAUGAGAAUUCAGUAGAACCUUGAAAACUGCAUAGAUUAGAAAGAAUAAAGCAUCUCAUGGAUGCAUAAUUCUGUUUUUAUAAUAUAGCCUUAAAACUAAAUUAUUUUUAUCAGAAUUCAUGUUUAAUUCUUGAGUAAAAGCCGAGCACAAUUUAUUUUGUGAUUGUAUAAAGGUCAAGCUACAA